UACGGAGGGUGCGAGCGUUAAUCGGAAUUACUGGGCGUAAAGGGCGCGUAGGCGGCUUGGUCAGUCAGAUGUGAAAGCCCCGGGCUCAACCUGGGAAUUGCAUUUGAUACUGCCUAGCUUGAGUAUGAUAGAGGCAAGUGGAAUUCCAGGUGUAGCGGUGAAAUGCGUAGAUAUCUGGAAGAACACCAGUGGCGAAGGCGACUUGCUGGAUCAAUACUGACGCUGAGGUGCGAAAGCGUGGGGAGCAAACAGG
Molecule: ribosomal RNA, 253 nt
Filed under: uncultured bacterium
Lineage: Bacteria
Description: partial 16S ribosomal RNA
Rfam family: Bacterial small subunit ribosomal RNA
Source: RNAcentral